This 421-nucleotide long non-coding RNA is filed under the name Rattus norvegicus (Norway rat). Its description in RNAcentral is "long non-coding RNA NONRATT015050". Lineage: Eukaryota; Metazoa; Chordata; Mammalia; Rodentia; Muridae. The record is from RNAcentral.
GGACUAUCCUCCACAGGCGCCUGUGUCUGGAUACCUGGUCACCAGAUGGUGAUGCUGUUCUCAGAGGCAGUGGAAACUUUAGGAGGCAAGGCCGUGCUGGAGGAAGUGAGUCACUGUGGAUAAGCUAUGAAAUUUGAGUCUGCUCCUACUUUCUGCUUAAAAUCUGCUUCCUGACUAUGGCUGCAAUGUGCCUGGCUGCCUCAUGCUUCUGAGGCUGUGCUUCCUCCUCUGCUGUGAUCAGAUGCAGCCCCUUAAACGGAUUCCCUAAGAAGCAAUUGAAAUUGGACCAGUGACUCCACUUGGCCUUAUUCAAAAGACUGAGAAGGAAAAGGCUGGCAAGCAAGAAUAUUAAGUCAAUUAAUAAUUCUUCAGUGGUUUCUACAAAUCCAAGAGAAAGCAAUAAAUAUGUAUGUCUCACUUU